GACGAACGCUGGCGGCGUGCUUAACACAUGCAAGUCGAGCGGAAAGGCCACUUCGGUGGUACUCGAGCGGCGAACGGGUGAGUAACACGUGAGUAAUCUGCCCCUGGCUUUGGGAUAGGCACCGGAAACGGUGAUUAAUACCGGAUACGACCACUUCUCGCAUGGGAUGGUGGGGGAAAGUUUUUUCGGGCAGGGAUGUGCUCGCGGCCUAUCAGCUUGAUGGUGAGGUAAUGGCUCACCAUGGCUUCGACGGGUAGCCGGCCUGAGAGGGUGACCGGUCACACUGGGACUGAGACGCGGCCCAGACUCCUACGGGAGGCAGCAGUGGGGAAUAUUGGACAAUGGGCGGAAGCCUGAUCCAGCAACGCCGCGUGAGGGAUGACGGCCUUCGGGUUGUAAACCUCUUUCAGCAGGGACGAAGCGCAAGUGACGGUACCUGCAGAAGAAGCACCGGCCAACUACGUGCCAGCCGCCGCGGUAA
This 481-nucleotide ribosomal RNA is filed under the name uncultured bacterium. Its description in RNAcentral is "partial 16S ribosomal RNA". It matches the Rfam family "Bacterial small subunit ribosomal RNA", at positions 28 to 523 of the family's 1533-position model. The record is from RNAcentral.